Molecule: small nuclear RNA, 161 nt
Organism: Penaeus chinensis
Lineage: Eukaryota; Metazoa; Arthropoda; Malacostraca; Decapoda; Penaeidae
Product: U1 spliceosomal RNA
Exons: 1
Source: RefSeq, a predicted model, not a curated record
GUACUUACCUGCCACAGGACACACCGCGAUCAUGAAGCCGGUUCCCCCAGGGCGAGGCUCGCCAUUUCACUCCGGCGGCGCUGACCCCUGUGAUUAUCCCAAAUGUGGUUAACUCGAGUGUGCAAUUUUCAAUAAAGACUGCUGCGAUGGUCCAGUGGUUA